Molecule: ribosomal RNA, 433 nt
Filed under: uncultured Syntrophaceae bacterium
Lineage: Bacteria; Pseudomonadati; Thermodesulfobacteriota; Syntrophia; Syntrophales; Syntrophaceae
Description: bacterial SSU rRNA
Rfam family: Bacterial small subunit ribosomal RNA
Source: RNAcentral
AAUUCGAUGCAACGCGAAGAACCUUACCUGGGCUUGACAUCCCAAGAAUCCCCUGGAAACAGGGAGUGCCCUUCGGGAGCUUGGAGACAGGUGCUGCAUGGCUGUCGUCAGCUCGUGUCGUGAGAUGUUGGGUUAAGUCCCGCAACGAGCGCAACCCUUGCCUUAGUUGCCAUCAUUCAGUUGGGCACUCUAGAGGGACUGCCGGUGUCAAACCGGAGGAAGGUGGGAUGACGUCAAGUCCUCAUGGCCUUUAUGCCCAGGGCUACACACGUGCUACAAUGGGCGGUACAAAGAGCAGCGAGCUCGCGAGAGUAAGCAAAUCUCAAAAAGCCGUCCUCAGUUCGGAUUGGAGUCUGCAACUCGACUCCAUGAAGUUGGAAUCGCUAGUAAUCGCGGAUCAGCAUGCCCGCGGUCGAAUACGUUCCCGGGCCUU